UAUUGGCGGCCAUUGUAUGG
RNAcentral lists this unclassified non-coding RNA (20 nucleotides) under Chlamydomonas reinhardtii. RNAcentral describes it as "small RNA Cre_2422". Lineage: Eukaryota; Viridiplantae; Chlorophyta; Chlorophyceae; Chlamydomonadales; Chlamydomonadaceae. The record is from RNAcentral.